This is a long non-coding RNA of Drosophila miranda, 375 nucleotides long. RefSeq lists it as uncharacterized. Lineage: Eukaryota; Metazoa; Arthropoda; Insecta; Diptera; Drosophilidae. The record is from RefSeq and is a predicted model, not a curated record. The transcript has 2 exons.
UACCAGCAGUGAGCGAUGACGAAUGUCAUCUACAAUGUCAUCGAGGCGUUGACGCCAGCCAAAUCGAACCCUUUGUUUUUUCUUUUGUUUCUUUCUUUUCCGCGCGUGCCGAACGUAAUUCGGUUCUGCCGACCGUGCGCAGUAGCAGAGAACUUCGUUUUAUCUUUUCGUCUUCUUUGCGCCUGCGUCGACAGAACUCUUUUGCUUUGUUCUUUGCUAUUUGCAAUCGUCACACGGAGUUUUAAUAAGUGAAAAUAAGUAAUCUGUGAUUAUUAUUAUUAUCAGCGGCGGUGAAGAUGAAAAUACCCGACGAGCCAGCAGAAAAAGUGAUUCGGAAGGCUAUUCACAACAUUAAGAAUAGUCAUUUUCAGAAGA